Molecule: ribosomal RNA, 467 nt
Filed under: uncultured bacterium
Lineage: Bacteria
Description: partial 16S ribosomal RNA
Rfam family: Bacterial small subunit ribosomal RNA
Source: RNAcentral
ACGAACGCUGGCGGCGUGCUUAACCCCUGCAAGUCGCACGGAAAGGCCCUGCUUUUGUGGGGUGCUCGCGUGGCGAACGGGUGAGUAACACGUGAGUCACCUGCCCUUGACUUUGGGAUAACUUCAGGAAACUGGGGCUACUACCGGAUCGGAGCUCCUGCUGCAUGGUGGGGGCUGGUAAGUUUCGGCGGUUGGGGAUGGACUCGCGGCUUAUCAGCUUGUUGGUGGGGUAGUGGCUUACCAAGGCUUUGACGGGUAGCCGGCCUGGGAGGGUGACCGGCCACAUUGGGACUGAGAUACGGCCCAGACUCCUACGGGAGGCAGCAGUGGGGAAUAUUGCACAAUGGGCGGAAGCCUGAUGCAGCAACGCCGCGUGCGGGAUAACGGCCUUCGGGUUGUAAACCGCUUUCGCCUGUGACGAAGCGUGAGUGACGGUAAUGGGUAAAGAAGCACCGGCUAACUACGUG